GAAAAUGGAUGGCGCUGAAGCGUUUUGCCUAUACGCUACCGUUACCGGCACGUGUGAUGCUAAAUUUUUAAUUUGGUAUCAUUAAGCCGUAACGAGUAGGACGUGCGCGACGGAGAGCGCAGAAGGGUCUGGGCGUGAGCCCGCUUGGAGCCUCCGUCGGUGCAGAUCUUGGUGGUAGUAGCAAAUACUCCAGCGAGGCCCUGGAGGACUGACGUGGAGAAGGGUUUCGCGUGAACAGUAGUUGCUCGCGAGUCAGUCGAUCCUAAGCUCAAGGAGAGAUCUUAUGUCGAUGUGGCGUGUUUUUUUAUAAUUUUUAAAAAUAAUGAAAAAUAACGCCCUUUGAGCGAAAGGGAAUCCGGUUCCUAUUCCGGAACCCGGCAGCGGAACCGUUUCAAUAAUCGUUCCCUCGUCUUUAAAAACGAGUGUUCGACGGGGUAACCCAAAGUGGCCUGAAGACGCCGCCGAGAGGUCCGGGAAGAGUUUUCUUUUCUGCCUGAGCGUUCGAGUUCCAUGGAAUCCUAUAGAAGGGAGAUAUGGUUCGGAACGCGAAGAGCACCGCAUUUGCGGCGGUGUCCGGAUACUCUCUGCGGACCUUGAAAAUCAGGUGAGGGAUGUACGUGGAGAUGUCGCGCCGGUUCGUACCCAUAUCCGCAGCAGGUCUCCAAGGUGAAGAGCCUCUAGUCGAUAGAAUAAUGUAGGUAAGGGAAGUCGGCAAAUUGGAUCCGUAACUUCGGAAUAAGGAUUGGCUCUGAGGACCGGGGCGUGUCGGGUUUGGACGGGAAGCGGAUGCGGCCGGUGCCGGGUCUGGUCGAUGUUCGUGCGUUAUGUUCGUUUUAGCGAGUUAGUAUUUUAAUAUAAUGCGGCCUCAAAAACUGUAUAUAUUUAAUAUGACACUCGCGAAAAUCGUCUUACGUUUCGGACUGGAUCCGGACCCGCGUUCUCCGGCCUUCCGCGGAUCUUCCUAGCCGUAAGGUCGUGUCGGUUUCGUUUCGUGCGCGAUCGGCACGAUUCUGUACGACCGCCGUUCAACGGUCAGCUCAGAACUGGCACGGACAAGGGGAAUCCGACUGUCUAAUUAAAACAAAGCAUUGCGAUGGCCCUCGCGGGUGUUGACGCAAUGUGAUUUCUGCCCAGUGCUCUGAAUGUCAACGUGAAGAAAUUCAAGCAAGCGCGGGUAAACGGCGGGAGUAACUAUGACUCUCUUAAGGUAGCCAAAUGCCUCGUCAUCUAAUUAGUGACGCGCAUGAAUGGAUUAACGAGAUUCCCACUGUCCCUAUCUACUAUCUAGCGAAACCACAGCCAAGGGAACGGGCUUGGGAGAAUCAGCGGGGAAAGAAGACCCUGUUGAGCUUGACUCUAGUCUGGCAUUGUAAGGAGACAUGAGAGGUGUAGCAUAAGUGGGAGAUCGUUUCGCGCGAUCGUCGCUGAAAAACCACUACUUUCAUUGUUUCAUUACUUACUCGGUUGGGCGGAAGCGGUGCGCGGUCGAUAAUAUCGGCGGGCGCACGGUGUUUCGUUCCAAGCGUGCAGAGUGGUGACGUGGCGGAAACGCUCGUCGCCGUUUAAAACUCCCGCGUGAUCCGGUUCGAGGACACUGCCAGGCGGGGAGUUUGACUGGGGCGGUACAUCUGUCAAAGAAUAACGCAGGUGUCCUAAGGCCAGCUCAGCGAGGACAGAACCUCGCGUGGAGCAAAAGGGCAAAACUGGCUUGAUCCAGAUGUUCAGUACGCAUAGGGACUGCGCCAGAAAAACAGUAUAGACUAUGUAAAUAUGUCCAUGCUACGUCAAGUUACCUAGCUCAU
This 1802-nucleotide ribosomal RNA is filed under the name Bombyx mori (domestic silkworm). Its description in RNAcentral is "eukaryotic LSU rRNA". It matches the Rfam family "Eukaryotic large subunit ribosomal RNA", at positions 1314 to 2761 of the family's 3401-position model. The record is from RNAcentral. Lineage: Eukaryota; Metazoa; Arthropoda; Insecta; Lepidoptera; Bombycidae.